CUACGGGAGGCUGCAGUGAGGAAUAUUGCACAAUGGGGGGAACCCUGAUGCAGCAACGCCGCGUGGAGGAUGACGCAUUUCGGUGUGUAAACUCCUUUUAUAUGUCAAGAAAAUGACGGUAGCAUAUGAAUAAGCACCGGCUAACUCCGUGCCAGCAGCCGCGGUAUACGGAGGGUGCAAGCGUUACUCGGAAUCACUGGGCGUAAAGGACGCGUAGGCGGGUUGGAAAGUCAGGUGUGAAAUCCUACAGCUUAACUGUAGAACUGCACUUGAAACUUCUAAUCUAGAGUAUGGGAGGGGGGGAUGGAAUUAGUGGUGUAGGGGUAAAAUCCGUAGAUAUCACUAGGAAUACCUAAAGCGAAGGCGAUCUCCUGGAACAUUACUGACGCUAAGGCGUGAAAGCGUGGGGAGCAAACAGGAUUAGAUACCCCUGUAGUC
This 438-nucleotide ribosomal RNA is filed under the name uncultured bacterium. RNAcentral describes it as "partial 16S ribosomal RNA". It matches the Rfam family "Bacterial small subunit ribosomal RNA", at positions 339 to 795 of the family's 1533-position model. The record is from RNAcentral.